GCAGCUCCAUGAGAUCAAUUCUGACAGCAUAACAAAAUGGAUCUUCAAAGUGCUUCAAUGUGAAGGAUAUUAUCCAAAGGCAUCCCCGUGGGAAAGAAAUAGUAUAACACAAACUCGACGAUAACGACAGAAACCAGAUGCCUUCUGACAACUAUUGUGUUUGCGGAAAUGGUCAAGAUUUUCACCUAGCGAGAUAGCACUGUUCUCAUUCAUCAUGGCAAUAUACAUGGUUCCAGCUCAAACAGCAAGAAGGAAGAGUUCACUGGCAGACUCCAUGGGAUACUUUUUGGUGACUAGACCAAUCAGUACAAGUGUGGAAUCCCACCUGGCUGAAGAGAUGAAUGACAAGAAGCGGAGACAACCAUACCUUUUGGGCAUAGGAGAUCACAACAACUCAUCUCAGUUUUUCAUUGUUGUGGAUGAUCUAGCUAUCCCCUGCGAAGGUGACAUCACAGAGGCUGUUGACAAACUGUUUAAGGUCCAAUUCUUGUUCAACAUCCACUAUGCAGAUGAAGUCUAUGGAUUUUUCUGGGGAUUUUUUGCAUUCAUACAGAACUUUGUUUACGGCAUAAGUGGACAAGAAGCAGUUCCAGCCCAUGCCAGAGAAAUGAUGGCAAGCAUCACUGCCUUGGAAGUGAAUGCAAACAAAUGACUGACUUCAGUAUUGCCUGUCCUCAAACGAGCGUAAUUAACUCAAAAGGGUGUGGAGGUCACAUGGUAAGAUCAAAGAUCAUUUGUAUUCAUGAAUUGCUGGCUGAUAUUUUUUUCUGUUCCCACUUGGAACAUUCUUCCCUGUUUAAGUUGAUAGAGGAUGUUCACUUUUUAAAUGUACACAAUUCCAUAAUCAAUGGAAGAUCACUGUUGAAUAAAUUUGGGUUUAUUCAUCCUCAAAUAUUCCAGGAUAUUCUCAUAUUUUUUAAAAGAAAAAAAUCUUGGUCAGUAAUGUAUAUGUUAAAUAAAUUUACCUUGAACACAUCUCUUACAGUGCAUAUAUAUAAAAAAAUUAACCCUUUUGAAAAUAAUUUUCACAAUCACAUUUCAAAAUAUGGAGAUAAUUUUUUUUUAAUGGCUUUUGGUACUCUAUAGUCUCUUCUAUCAAAUGCUGCUUGAGCGAGCGGUGACCAUUUUUGUCCAGAGUGUCAAAAAGUGCUUUGUGCCAAAAUUGAAAGAAAAGGAAAAAUUAAUUCAGCAGUCUGAUUAGGAUUCAUACUCAAAUCACUUGCUCUUUUGCAUACAUUUAUGAUCAUUUCAGAAAUGGAUAACUUUCCUAACCUUGGAAGAAUGGGGGGGGGUGUUUAAUUGAAAUGAUAACUUCAUUUUAGGGGGAGGGUGUCCCACUUCUGACAAAGCCCGAUAUAUUGAAUAAAGAUAUAGCAAAAAGCAGUCACCAUACAUUCUUCCGUCUAUUCACUAAAAUGGGUGGAAAGGCUAAAGCUGUAACAACAAGUUGUGAAAUACUUUGGGUUUUUUUGGGGGUUGUUAUUACUUUCUUUUUUAGCUUAUUGACCCUAUACAUGUAUAGCAUGGCUAUUUUUGAAUUGUUUAGGCAGGGAUUGGCUGCUAAUGGUCUCAAAAGAUGCAUAGACUUAAAAAGCCAUGAAACAUAGCGAGAGCUUGUUGAGGUUAAGGGCUACAGCCCCCCUCCCGGCCGGAGAGGGUUGAGUGGCAAAAUGACAUACCAGACGGGAGAUAAAUACACUCAAUCGGUAGCAUGGGUAAAAAGUUAACAGUGUUAGAGUUUUGGAGAAAGUAUCUGAAUGUUAAUCAUAUUUAUAAGGAUAUUUUCAACUGUUAGAUUACUCUGCAAUUUUGAAAUGUAAUGUGUUCAAUUAACAGUGUUGAAUGCAUUUAAUGUGAUGGCAGUUACUAAAUUUGUUAUCUGUUAGAUUAAUGUGCAAUUUUGAAAUUUAAUGUGUUCAAUUAACAGUGUUGAAUGCAUUUAAUGUGAUGGCAGAUACUAAAUUUGUUAUCUGUUAAAUCACUCUGCAAGUUAAUUAUCUUCAAUUAACAGUGUUUGAAUGCAUUUAUAUGAUGGCAGUUAAGAAAGUUUUUUCAGGUGAAAUGUAUUGAUCCUUACUUGAGUAGUAUUUGUGUUGACAUGUAAUGGAGCAUGUUCCCAGCUUUUCUGGUAAUUAUUUGGACCUGAAUGGUUUGAAGGCAAUAUAUUGUAUUAUGGCAAUCCAUUGUAUUAUGGUAUAAAGAUCUUUGGCUCAAUGUAAGAAAACUCUUUCAGGGCAUCAGCUCAUCAAGGAAAUCCCAGUGGCAAAAUGACAGAUAGACCAGGGCCCCGUUGCAUAAAAAUAUGGUAUCUCUCAAAACUAUCGUAACUACCAUCAAUUAUUUUUUAAUUUGAUUGGCUAUGGUUGCUAUGGUAGUUAAGAUAGUUUGCAGAGAUACCAUAUUUUUAUGUAACAGGGUUCAGAAAGGAAACAAAUAUACUUUACACUCAAUCAGUGGUAUUGGUCAAAGGUUAACAUGAAUGUUAGUGGAAUUUGUAUAGUUUUCAUGGUUUUGGUAAAGAAAACUUUAAAAAUAGAACUUGGUCUACAUUUGAUAGGCUACUAUAUCCAAAGUAUUUCGGAACAAUUUUCAUUUAUACUUUGAACCGAAGUUAGAUAACAAUGCAUACACUAUAUAGAUUUGUUCAGAGGCCCUCUAAACAAGAUGCAGAAACGGUAUAUAAUAAUUAUUUGUAAAGACUGAAACACAAGUUAACAGUGAUUUAUUACAAAAACUGAGUUUGAAUACAUUUGGAAUCAGACGUAAAUAACUCCAAUUGUUUUUUAUAAACUUGUAAAUGGUAUAUUCAGUUUUAGAAAUAAUCCUCAUCUAUUUAUAAUACAAUUUUCCUUUCACAGUUUUUAUGUUUAUAUUGUGUGUAAUUAUGUUUAUGUCAUACAUUUUUAUAUUGUUAUCCAGGAAGCAAACCUGUAUGGGUUAAAAAAAACCUUUUUAGCUUUUCCAGAGACAUGUAUAUAUUUUACUUGUCUGAAUUAAUUCAAUUAGUUUCAAUUCAAACAAUUCAAGAAUAAUUCAAAUCAAUUGUUUUAUAAUAUUGUACAUAAUAUGCUGUAUUAUUUGGACAUCUAUUACAGAUUCAAUUGUUAAAUUGUUCCUCAUUUGACUAUGUAUGUGAAUUGCUUACAAAUUAAAAUAUAAUUCAGUGAUAAUACAGUCUAGUUGAUCUAUGCAAGUUAAUUGUUUCUGUGUUAUCAAACUGAUUUUGCAAUAAAGAAAAUGAAUUACAA
This is a long non-coding RNA of Lytechinus variegatus (green sea urchin), 3248 nucleotides long. RefSeq lists it as uncharacterized. The record is from RefSeq and is a predicted model, not a curated record. The transcript has 4 exons. NCBI's taxonomy places the organism in Eukaryota, Metazoa, Echinodermata, Echinoidea, Temnopleuroida, Toxopneustidae.